Molecule: ribosomal RNA, 372 nt
Filed under: uncultured organism
Description: partial 16S ribosomal RNA
Rfam family: Bacterial small subunit ribosomal RNA
Source: RNAcentral
GUAGGUGGCAAGCGUUGUCCGGAAUUAUUGGGCGUAAAGCGCGCGCAGGCGGUUCUUUAAGUCUGAUGUGAAAGCCCACGGCUCAACCGUGGAGGGUCAUUGGAAACUGGAGAACUUGAGUACAGAAGAGGAAAGCGGAAUUCCACGUGUAGCGGUGAAAUGCGUAGAGAUGUGGAGGAACACCAGUGGCGAAGGCGGCAUUCUGGUCUGUAACUGACGCUGAGGCGCGAAAGCGUGGGGGAGCAAACAGGAUUAGAUACCCUGGUAGUCCACGCCGUAAACGAUGAGUGCUAAGUGUUAGGGGGUUUCCGCCCCUUAGUGCUGCAGCUAACGCAUUAAGCACUCCGCCCUGGGAGUACGGCCGCAAGGCUG